AUUGAACGCUGGCGGCAUGCUUUACACAUGCAAGUCGAACGGUAACAGGCCGCAAGGUGCUGACGAGUGGCGAACGGGUGAGUAAUGCAUCGGAACGUGCCCAGUCGUGGGGGAUAACUACUCGAAAGAGUAGCUAAUACCGCAUACGAUCUAUGGAUGAAAGCGGGGGACCGUAAGGCCUCGCGCGAUUGGAGCGGCCGAUGUCAGAUUAGGUAGUUGGUGGGGUAAAGGCUCACCAAGCCAACGAUCUGUAGCUGGUCUGAGAGGACGACCAGCCACACUGGGACUGAGACACGGCCCAGACUCCUACGGGAGGCAGCAGUGGGGAAUUUUGGACAAAGGGCGCAAGCCUGAUCCAGCAAUGCCGCGUGCAGGAAGAAGGCCUUCGGGUUGUAAACUGCUUUUGUACGGAUCGAAACGGCUCUGGUUAAUACCCGGGGCUAAUGACGGUACCGUAAGAAUAAGCACCGGCUAACUACGUG
This 482-nucleotide ribosomal RNA is filed under the name uncultured bacterium. Its description in RNAcentral is "partial 16S ribosomal RNA". It matches the Rfam family "Bacterial small subunit ribosomal RNA", at positions 30 to 507 of the family's 1533-position model. The record is from RNAcentral.